This 468-nucleotide ribosomal RNA is filed under the name uncultured bacterium. RNAcentral describes it as "partial 16S ribosomal RNA". It matches the Rfam family "Bacterial small subunit ribosomal RNA", at positions 28 to 507 of the family's 1533-position model. The record is from RNAcentral.
GACGAACGCUGGCGGCGUGCUUAACACAUGCAAGUCGAACGGAAAGGCCCUGCUUUUGUGGGGUGCUCGAGUGGCGAACGGGUGAGUAACACGUGAGUAACCUGCCCUUGACUUUGGGAUAACUUCAGGAAACUGGGGCUAAUACCGGAUAGGAGCUCCUGCUGCAUGGUGGGGGUUGGAAAGUUUCGGCGGUUGGGGAUGGACUCGCGGCUUAUCAGCUUGUUGGUGGGGUAGUGGCUUACCAAGGCUUUGACGGGUAGCCGGCCUGAGAGGGUGACCGGCCACAUUGGGACUGAGAUACGGCCCAGACUCCUACGGGAGGCAGCAGUGGGGAAUAUUGCACAAUGGGCGGAAGCCUGAUGCAGCAACGCCGCGUGCGGGAUGACGGCCUUCGGGGUGUAAACCGCAUUCGCCUGUGACGAAGCGUGAGUGACGGUAAUGGGUAAAGAAGCACCGGCUAACUACGUG